RNAcentral lists this ribosomal RNA (253 nucleotides) under uncultured bacterium. RNAcentral's name for it is "partial 16S ribosomal RNA". It matches the Rfam family "Bacterial small subunit ribosomal RNA", at positions 524 to 776 of the family's 1533-position model. The record is from RNAcentral.
UACAGAGGGUGCGAGCGUUAAUCGGAAUUACUGGGCGUAAAGCGCGCGUAGGCGGCUUUGCAAGUCGGGUGUGAAAUCCCCAGGCUCAACCUGGGAACUGCAUUCGAGACUGCAUUGCUAGAGUAUGGGAGAGGGAAGUGGAAUUUCCGGUGUAGCGGUGAAAUGCGUAGAUAUCGGAAGGAACACCGGUGGCGAAGGCGGUUCUCUGGGCAUGAUCUGACGCUGAGGAGCGAAAGUGUGGGGAGCGAACAGG